AGGACAUUCUUUCGAUCCAGGCUUGCAGGGUGGCUCCAGGUCAUCUUUCUCGAAGGUGGAUUUGAGAUCGGGAUAUCAUCAGCUUCGAGUCAGAGAGCAGGAUGUGCAGAAGACGGCGUUUCGUACUCGUUACGGGCACUAUGAGUUCCUCGUGAUGCCGUUCGGGUUGACGAAUGCGCCAGCAGUGUUCAUGGCUUUGAUGAACAAGAUCUUCGCUCCGCACCUCGACAGCUUCACAGUGGUCUUCAUCGACGAUGUGUUGGUCUACUCCAAGUCCAGAGAGGAGCAUGAGCAGCAUUUGAGGACAUCUCUACAGUUGUUGCGCGACAACCAGUUGUACGCGAAGCUCAGCAAGUGCGAGUUCUGGAAA
This 370-nucleotide unclassified non-coding RNA is filed under the name Actinodaphne hookeri. RNAcentral describes it as "partial contains external transcribed spacer 1 and 18S ribosomal RNA". Lineage: Eukaryota; Viridiplantae; Streptophyta; Magnoliopsida; Laurales; Lauraceae. The record is from RNAcentral.